RNAcentral lists this ribosomal RNA (473 nucleotides) under uncultured bacterium. Its description in RNAcentral is "bacterial SSU rRNA". It matches the Rfam family "Bacterial small subunit ribosomal RNA", at positions 328 to 793 of the family's 1533-position model. The record is from RNAcentral.
GCCGAGCACUCCUACGGGAGGCAGCAGUGGGGAAUAUUGCACAAUGGGGGAAACCCUGAUGCAGCCAUGCCGCGUGUGUGAAGAAGGCCUUCGGGUUGUAAAGCACUUUCAGUUGUGAGGAAGGUGGUGUCGUUAAUAGCGGCAUCAUUUGACGUUAGCAACAGAAGAAGCACCGGCUAACUCCGUGCCAGCAGCCGCGGUAAUACGGAGGGUGCGAGCGUUAAUCGGAAUUACUGGGCGUAAAGCGCAUGCAGGUGGUUUGUUAAGUCAGAUGUGAAAGCCCCGGGGCUCAACCUCGGAACUGCAUUUGAAACUGGCAGACUAGAGUACUGUAGAGGGGGUAGAAUUUCAGGUGUAGCGGUGAAAUGCGUAGAGAUCUGAAGGAAUACCGGUGGCGAAGGCGGCCCCCUGGACAGAUACUGACACUCAGAUGCGAAAGCGUGGGGAGCAAACAGGAUUAGAUACCCUGGUAG